GGGGGCGAUUCAGGUUCGACCGGAUUUCUGAGAUGUCUGGCUGCAUGCCGAGGUUGGUCGGCUGGCCUCGUAAAAAGCCGAUCAAAACAUUAGCUGCCAACAACCACGUUGGUUCCUACAGCCUCGCCGCCUGACCGCGGUUAAGCUGCGUCGUGUCAUGACUUCGCCUGCGGGUCAUGGCCGACGACGACACAGUGGGCUCGCCCGAUCUUAACCGCCUGUUGCGGAUCGGGUUAAACUCAUAAUAGGCUAAGCCGAUGGAAACCUCGUCGUUUGGGGUUCCCAGGCCGACAAUAAAUAGAACGACUACGCAUGUAGACGCCUUCAUCAAUGGAUCUCGGGACGCGGGUGCAAUUCCCGCCGCCUCCAC
RNAcentral lists this transfer-messenger RNA (370 nucleotides) under Tautonia plasticadhaerens. Its description in RNAcentral is "Planctomycetes bacterium ElP transfer-messenger RNA, SsrA". It matches the Rfam family "transfer-messenger RNA". From Rfam's summary of the family: Bacterial tmRNA, also known as 10Sa RNA or SsrA, is named for its dual tRNA and mRNA-like properties. Its role is to liberate the mRNA from a stalled ribosome. Lineage: Bacteria; Pseudomonadati; Planctomycetota; Planctomycetia; Isosphaerales; Isosphaeraceae. The record is from RNAcentral.